Molecule: long non-coding RNA, 1030 nt
Organism: Felis catus (domestic cat)
Lineage: Eukaryota; Metazoa; Chordata; Mammalia; Carnivora; Felidae
Exons: 4
Source: RefSeq, a predicted model, not a curated record
GGUUGCUUGGUUUUUUACUAAACAUUAACUGAAUGAAAACGGGUAGUCCUUGUUCUGCUUGGGGGGCUUUAAGGAAGCAAAUGGACUUUCAGAACAGAGAUUGUCAAUAAAGGAGUAGGCUGACAUAUGGCCUCCGGAGUAUGGUUCCAGGAUUCAGUCACUAGGUGUUUUAGAUUUGAUUCCAUUGGAAAAAUACAGUGUGAUAAGUAACGUGCGUGAGAAGAUUAGUAUGUGCCCGACACAAGAGUUCGCUGAAUGAAUGAUCAGAAGAAAGGAGCUCCACCAAACUGAAGACCCUUUCUCAGGAGUAACUCUAAUACCAAGUUGAGUCAGACUCCUACCAAAGUUUACCACUUAUUGACUUGGAAUAGUUGCAUUUCAACAGAGAGAUGCUGGCUGACUGAAAGGACUAUCACAUGCUUCUUUUCUUGAGAGUACCUGAGCAGAGCGAAAAUGAUCGCCAUUUGAAAUUGGGGAUCACUUGCAAACCAUUCUCACGAAGGCCUGGAACCCAUCUCUACAACCCCUUGGCUCACUCAUGAGACUGCUGUGCAUGACAUGGUCUCAGGAGCAUUCUGUCCUGACGCCAGGAGCAUCCUGUCAUGCACCCUGCGCCAUUCAGGAUUCAUCUCAGGAAUACCCAGCCUGAGCUUUGGAUGUGUCCUCUGAGGAAGUACCCAUGACACAGACCACACUGGACACCAACUCUGAUAUCAGGGAAAGGUUCCACAACAGUUGAGUGUGAACAUGGGAUCACUGAGCUCCUUGGCGCAGAGCUGCUAAUGUCCCCUCUUGAGCUGACGGAGGCUGGUGCUGCCUUGAAGCAUGCCAUGCCAAUUCACAGCAAGGUCUUUAUUGUUGAAACUCUUGCAUAAUGACAUCUUUAUUCAUGUGAAAAUACAGGAUGAAUUUCAACUAUAUGAUAUUGUUUAUGUUCAUCAGAAAUGUUAUUUGUCUUUACAAAGUCUGGUUUCAAUGAACCGGCUAUGUAAUGGAUAUUAAAUAAACAUGGAAUUUUACACAUUCAUAA